This 254-nucleotide ribosomal RNA is filed under the name uncultured bacterium. RNAcentral's name for it is "partial 16S ribosomal RNA". It matches the Rfam family "Bacterial small subunit ribosomal RNA", at positions 524 to 776 of the family's 1533-position model. The record is from RNAcentral.
CACGUAGGGGGCGAGCGUUUUCCGGAUUUAUUGGGCGUAAAGAGCUCGUAGGCGGCCUGCUAAGUCGGACGUGAAAUCCCUCGGCUCAACCGGGGAACUGCGUCCGAUACUGGCGAGGCUUGAAUCCGGGAGAGGGAUGCGUAAUUCCAGGUGUAGCGGUGAAAUGCGUAGAUAUCUGGAGGAACACCGGUGGCGAAGGCGGCAUCCUGGACCAAUAUUGACGCUGAGGAGCGAAAGCCAGGGGAGCAAACGGG